GACGAACGCUGGCGGCGUGCUUAACACAUGCAAGUCGAACGGAAAGGCCCUGCUUUUGUGGGGUGCUCGAGUGGCGAACGGGUGAGUAACACGUGAGUAACCUGCCCUUGACUUUGGGAUAACUUCAGGAAACUGGGGCUACUACCGGAUAGCAGCUCCUGCUGCCUGGUGGGGGUUGGAAAUUUUCGGCGGUUGGGGAUGGACUCGCGGCUUAUCAGCUUGUUGGUGGGGUAGUGGCUUACCAAGGCUUUGACGGGUAGCCGGCCUGAGAGGGUGACCGGCCACAUUGGGACUGAGAUACGGCCCAGACUCCUACGGGAGGCAGCAGUGGGGAAUAUUGCACAAUGGGCGGAAGCCUGAUGCAGCAACGCCGCGUGCGGGAUGACGGCCUUCGGGUUGUAAACCGCUUUCGCCUGUGACGAAGCGUGAGUGACGGUAAUGGGUAAAGAAGCACCGGCUAACUACGUG
RNAcentral lists this ribosomal RNA (468 nucleotides) under uncultured bacterium. RNAcentral describes it as "partial 16S ribosomal RNA". It matches the Rfam family "Bacterial small subunit ribosomal RNA", at positions 28 to 507 of the family's 1533-position model. The record is from RNAcentral.